Molecule: ribosomal RNA, 465 nt
Filed under: Vreelandella stevensii
Lineage: Bacteria; Pseudomonadati; Pseudomonadota; Gammaproteobacteria; Oceanospirillales; Halomonadaceae
Description: partial 16S ribosomal RNA
Rfam family: Bacterial small subunit ribosomal RNA
Source: RNAcentral
CCUACGGGUGGCUGCAGUGGGGAAUAUUGGACAAUGGGCGAAAGCCUGUUCCAGCCAUGCCGCGUGUGUGAAGAAGGCCUUCGGGUUGUAAAGCACUUUCAGUGGGGAAGAAAGCCUUGGGGCUAAUACCCUCGAGGAAGGACAUCACCCACAGAAGAAGCACCGGCUAACUCCGUGCCAGCAGCCGCGGUAAUACGGAGGGUGCGAGCGUUAAUCGGAAUUACUGGGCGUAAAGCGCGCGUAGGCGGUCUGAUAAGCCGGUUGUGAAAGCCCCGGGCUCAACCUGGGAACGGCAUCCGGAACUGUCAGGCUAGAGUGCAGGAGAGGAAGGUAGAAUUCCCGGUGUAGCGGUGAAAUGCGUAGAGAUCGGGAGGAAUACCAGUGGCGAAGGCGGCCUUCUGGACUGACACUGACGCUGAGGUGCGAAAGCGUGGGUAGCAAACAGGAUUAGAUACCCCAGUAGUC